Capsicum annuum is the source of this 4006-nucleotide long non-coding RNA. RefSeq lists it as uncharacterized. The transcript is spliced from 3 exons. Lineage: Eukaryota; Viridiplantae; Streptophyta; Magnoliopsida; Solanales; Solanaceae. The record is from RefSeq and is a predicted model, not a curated record.
UAAGCAUAAUGACUGUUGUCUGAACUCCAGAAGCUUCAUCAUCUUCUCAUGGUCAUCUUUGUUUCUCCGUGAAUAUUUUCUGUCCUAACAUUGUUUUGAUUUUACUAUAUUCAGAGCUUAUUUAGAGCCUAAUAUGCAAAAUGAUUUUCGGAGAUAGUUUGUUUGCUGUUACAAAUUAGAUUCCGUGUUAUGUCGUUUCUCAGCUCCAAAAUGGUGAGCUAUAUUAGAGAUCUUGUCUCGACCGAUGAAAAAAAUAAGUCAUUUUGGAUUUAGGAUCUUCAAUUUCUCAAUGAACUGUGAGCUCUCUUUUUCCUCCACCUCGAUUUAUUGCGAUUAACUGCGAUUAGGACAAUAAAUGUAUUGAUUUCUUGUUGUGUAGCUUUUUAUAUCGGUUUUGUGAGUUUGUAUUGGUGUGUAGUGUUUACAUAAGCAUCUUGGUUUGGAGAUUUUUUCUUGGUUUUGAGUAUUUCAAAGUGGGUUCUUCGGUGCUUCCGAAUAAUUACUUAAUUACUAUAGCUUCACAUAGCAUUGAAAUCAUACAAGAUAGCUAUCGUGUUACACCACAUAGCGAAGUAAAAUGUUUUCUUCUUUUUUGAACAAUAUUGUCCCUUAUGAAUGAAGUAAAGGGAAGGUAAGAAUAUUAGUUUGUCACUAGCCGAACACCAUGGUUACCAAUGAAGAUAAGGUUUUUCAAUUAGAAAAUAGAGACGCGUUAGAGGUUGAUUAUGGAUAGAAAACCUCGAUAUAGUAAUAAAAUUUGGAAGGAAUUAGACUUCUCCACAACAAGAAAAUUCUUCAUUGUAAGCCAAACUUUUUAUGAAAAGAAGAAGACGCUUAUCAAUAUCUAGAAUAUAGAUAAAAGACUUACAAAGUUUUGAAAGUGUAUUUAUGAAGGAUACAUUAACGAUAACUACGCCUCAAUCUCAAGAUAGAUGGGGAUACGGUGUCGGUUGUAUGAAUUGUCACUAUCUGUGUCACUCCAUUUAGAUAUAAUUUUUAUGGAUAUAAUAAUGAAUUCAAUGUUGGACUUGCUUACAACAGAAAGGAAAUCUAUCGGAGUAUUUAACUUUGAUAAGCUGACAUCUUAAUAAUGCAGGACGGAAGGAAAACAACAAAGUUUUACUUGUAAAAAUAUACUCCCUCUGUUUCAAAAUUUGUUUUUCUAACUUUCCUCUUUAGUCCAUUUCAAAAGAAAUAUCUCUCUUCUUUUUGGCAAGUCUUUAAUUCCAAUUUUUCACAUAGCAUGUUUAAGACCACGAGAUUAAAGGACAUUCUGAUACAUUAUACAUAUAUACUUUCUUAAACUCUUUGUCAAGUCAAGACCAGACGAACAAACUGAAAAUGGAGGGAGUAUUAACUAAGGAAACAGCGUAAUGGGAAUUUGAUAUGACCAUAUGUCCUUUUAGUUUAUAUUUGGUAAGUAUUUAGUAUAACAAUUUUGACAGAUAAUUUUUAGCUAUUUCAAUAUUUGAGGUUCUUGUAUUUCAAUUAUUUGCUACCCAAGUCUCAGCCAUUUCCUUGGUUUAUUGAUUCUAGAUAUAUGUGUUUUUUCCAGAGAAAGCAAAGUUUGGUGUUAAGAUGAUAAAAACUUAUACAAAAUCCUUGGAAACAAAAAAAAGUCUAUAAAGCAAUUCUGGUUGUACAACAAAAGUUGAAUCCCUAUGCUCAUAAAUCGAUAAAUAAAGUAUUCCUUUAGAUCAUCACCAUAUCCAGGACAAGACUCAUUGCAGCGGGUUAUAAUUUUUGGAUACAUAGGAAAGGUAGCUUCAAUUAUUAAUUACUAAAAGUCUAAUAAUCCAUUUGUCUGUUCUUUUUGGAUGUAGUAUCAAAAUCAAAAGCAUGUUUUAUUAUAAAAAUAAUUUUAUAAAUGAACUUGUAAUUUCAGGGUUUGGGGCUUCAGAUUGUAAGGUUUGUGGGUUCUGUCUCACUUUCAUUGUUUUGCUUGCCUUUUACUUUCUGAAGAUCCUAUUCUUUUCCAUCUUUUUCAAGUAGAGUGUGCUUCGAACGGGACACAACUUACAUCUUUUUAACAAGAAAUAUAGACGUAUCCCCAGAGAACUAUGGUCGAUAUUGGGGUUUGCUGAUUCACAGGUGAUUGAAAAUAAUUGUUCUAUGUGUACUUCAAGUUGUUCUUGCAGUCUUCUAUAUGAUUUAUCCUUAUACUAAUAUAGUUGAACAUAGACAGAGAGGUGUCUUCAUAGCUUCAUUGCUGAUGUCAAGAAAAAGUUAAUAGACAUAUUUAUCCUAUGAGUAUGUUAUGAGCUCGUUGUGUCAGUAGUCCUCAUUGAGAUGUUGUUGCUUCAGUUUUACAAAGUUAAAUUCAUUUAGUUUGAGUAGAGCAUUCUAGGCGCAUAGAAAGGGUGGUAUUUUCACGACCAUUUCUUUUUUUGCAAUAACUUUUUCAUUUCAUAAUAAAUUCAGCUGCUUUUAUUUUAUCCAAAGAAGUUUCAAGUUAAUUGUAAAAGCAAAUAAGACUGCAGUAAAAGGCAUCAACAUGAAAGAAAAAGAGUGAUGUCAGUAGUAUGAGACAUAGAACUUAUAUAGCUAUACAAAAAUUAUCCAUCAUCACUUUGUCACAAUAGCUCAAUCUAAUGUAAUUGUGCAUCUCCUUAACCUGUGAAUAUGAAUAUUUGAGGUGAGUUAGUAAUAAUAAAUUAGGAUGUGUAAAAAAUAUUUUGUAUCAGGUAAUUUGAUGUGUUGUAUCUUACCUAAUAUCUCUUUGUAGACGAUGUAUUUGGUGUAUGUUCUUUUUUUUUCUCUUUGGUUGCUCUGUCAUGACCAAAACCUUUGUUGUUGACAUUGAUAUUCCUCUUGAGAGUGCAAUGUAUAGCUAUCUACGUACAAAAAUAUGUUGUGGCAAGUACAAUCCAACAAUUGGUAUUGUAUGUCCCUGUGCUUUGUUAAUCAUUAUUGAAAAGCAUAAUCGCACUGGAAAUUAUUUUCUAAUAAACUGGAAUGGGUAUCCUCAUUUUCGGGAGGCGAUAGCUGGAUUCGUGGGAUAAACACAUGCUUGGAAGCAUUUUACACAAUCAUUAUUUCUGCAUGUAUGACGUUUUUUUCAAAAUCUCUACAUAUCAUUCUUGUGCCAUUACAUAAGCCAUUGAAAGCAUCCAAAUUUCUUAAUAACAUAAUAGGCACAUUUUUUUUCAAAAUUAAUCUGCAAAUCAAUAAAAUGUUAUAAGAAUGAUAACGUGAAGAAUUUUAAUAAUAAGUUCCAACCAAAUAUUAUAAAAUAAGGUGCAGGCACACUCUAGCUCAUAUUCAAUAUCAGGUUCGUGCUAGAAAAAUCAGGAUGUAAGAGGAGAAUCAGGUGCUCCAGAGGCAGCUCCAAUAGAAGCAUGAGUUCACUUUCUUGUACACACAACUAAAGACAUUUGAUGCUAAGUAGAUAAAAAAAGUGAUGGAAAGAUAGAUCAAGAUGAGUGGAAGGAGUUUGUUUCAAAGAAUCUGUCUAUUCUAAAGAUUAUGACCCUUCCAUAUUUGAAGUUAUAACAUCAAGCUGUAUUACAUUAAAUGAGCAACACUUUUCCAAAUUUUGAGUGCUGAUCCUUAUGGAUACAACAAUACAGGAUAUGCUGCUUACUAUAAUGACUAUCAACAACAAUCUAAUCAAUCCUAUCCUCAGCCAUCGGGAGCCUUUUGAAAUACAGGAUAUAAUGCUUCUGCUAAUGAGUGGUAGGACUAUGCACGAUAUGUGAAUUCAGAUGGAAUUGAUAUGUCUCUAAGUUAUUCUGCUUGAACUCUUGCUACAACGUUUGGGGUGUUAAAUUUUUUUCCCCGGAAUUGGAAUUUGGUACCAUGGUUUUUUUGGGUUGCUGUUCAGACUUUCUUUCUAGCUCGAGUAACUAUUGAUUUUUGUCUAUGUUUGUGGUUUUGAUUUGGUCAAAAUACAGGGAGUUUAUGGGGACAACGGGUUACUUAUGUAUCAUCAUAGAUAUGAAUAUUCACCCUUUAAUCUAUAGUCACCUGCUACUUCGCCUGUCCCUUCUUUGGGGCGGAUGUCCAA